UGUCUAAUAAUUUCUAAUGAUUUAUUAAUAAAUCAAUUCCAGUUAUUAAGAAAAAUAACUUUUUUAAAUGGGCAAAAGAUAAACAGAUAUUUCUCAAAACACACAAAUAGCUAACAGAUAUAAGAAAUGCUCAACAUCUCUAAUUAUCAAGGAAACACAUAUUAAAACCCAAUCAGAGAUCACCUGUUAACAAUGGUUAUGAUCAAAAAGACAAAUAAGUAUUAGUGAGAAUUUUGAGAAAAGGGAACCCUUGUACACUCUUGGUGGGAAUGUAAAUUAGUACAGCCAUUUUGGAAAAUAGUAUGAAGUUUCCUCAAAAAACUAAAAAAAACAGAAUUACCCUGUAUCCCGGCAAUCCCAAUUCUGGAUAUGUAUCCAAGGAACUGAAAUCAGUAUGUUGAAGAGAUAUUUGCACUCCCAUGUUCAUUUCAGCAUUAUUCACAGUAGCCAAGAUAGGGAAGUAACCUAAGUUUCUGUCAAUGAAUGAAUGGGUAAAGAAAAUGUAGUAUACAUGCUGGAAUACUAUACAGCCUUAAAAAAGGAAGGAAAUUCUGUCACUUGCAGUAACAUAGACAGAAUUGAAGGACAUUAUGCUAAGUGAAAUAAGCCAGGAAGAGAAAGAAAUACUGUAUGAUCUCACUUAUAUGUAGAACCUAAAAAAGUUAAUCUCAUAGAAACAAUACAAAGGUGGUUACAAGAGGCUGGGAAGUAAGGGAGGAAUGGAGAAAGAGAAGAUGUUGAUCAAACAGUACUGAGUUCCAGUUAGACAACAGGAAUACAUUUUAGUGAUCUAUUGCAUGGCAUGGUGACCACAGUUAAUGCAUAUUUCAAAAUAGCUAACUUAUAUUUUUAACAUUUUCUCCACAAAAAAAAUGAUAAACUGGUGAAGUGAUGGAUAUAUUAGCUUGGUCAAAUCUUUCUACAUGUACACAGAUAAAAACAUCACAUUGUAUCCUAUAAAUAUACACAAUUAUUUCCUGUCAGUUAAAAAUAAAUGACAAAGGCCAGGCACAGUGCCUCACGCCUGUAAUCCCAGCACUUUGGGAGGCCGAGGUGGGCGGAUCAUGAGGUCAGGAGAUCGAGACCAUCCUGGCUAACAUGGUGAAACCCCAACUCCAGUAAAAAUACAAAAAAUUAGCCGAGCAUGGUGGUGGGCACCUGCGCCUGUAGUCCCAGCUACUCGGGAGGCUGAGGCAGGAGAAUGGCGUGAACCCUGGAGGCGGAGGUUGCAGUGAGCCGAGAUCAUGCCACUGCACUCCAGCCGGGGCAACAGAGUGAGACUCCAUCUCAAAAAUAUAAAUAAAUAAAUAAGAAAAAAGGGGAUAUGUUACACCUGUUCAAAUAUAUAAUCUGACUUUGCUAUUUACAUAUUACCAAAAUUCCAACUUAAAUUUAUUGUUACUCUAGUUUUAAUGGUUUCACAAAUACAAAAGUUGCUAGAUAAGCAGUACCAACAUAUCUAAAUCUCCAAUGAUGUUCAAUUAAAAUUUUAUUUAUAGACUCAUACACUCAGCAAAACCACUCAUUUAAUAAGUCCAACUGAAAUAAAUUCUUAUUAAUAAAAUACCUAUAUUGAAAGUAAUAUAUUGUAAGAACUCUACCUUAAAUUGACCAUGGGGAUGAACUACAAUGUCAUAAAAUAUGAGCCAAAAUGUUCACUCAAUAAUUUUAAUUACAUCACAAUUAAGCCCAGAACUAUGCCUUUUUUUGUGUAAGGCUGAAUAAGGACGAAACUGAUGAGAGAAAAUUGCUUUCUAAAGCAUCAUUUACUGCAAUAACUUACUUUAUGCAAUAACCAACAUCACGAGACUGCAAAUACUGAAUAAUUAUGGUUAUUUAUGAAUAGCAUUUAUUCACUCCUACAUUCUGACAGGAGUGAAAUUUUAAGACCAAAAUAAUAGCCGGGCAUGGUGGCACAUGCCUGUAAUCCCAGCUACUUGGGAGGCUGAGGCAGAAGAACUGCUUGAACCCAGGAGGUGGAGGUUGCAGUGAGCCAAGAUCAUGCCAUUGCACUCCAGCCUGGGCAACAAGAGUGAAACUCUGUCUCAAAAAAAAAAAAAAGACCAAAAUAAGAGAUUGCUGAAUUUCAUGUACCCACACUGAAGAAAAAAAACAAAAACAAAAACAAACAAAAAAAGAUUUGGAACAAGAAUUAGAUUCAAAUUUUACCUAUUUGUACCACACCUCUGGGCUGACUCACCUGAAAGAUGUGCAAUGCUUACCUGUCUUGCAGUUGUCAUUAGGACUAAAUUAAUAAAUACAAGAAAACAACAAAGCUCCAGUAGGUACUUGGUAAAUGGCAGCUGUUAGAUGUAGCCAGAAUUCUUCAUUAAAACUUUUUUCAGUCUUUCUGAUAAUCAUUAAGUAUUUACACAACGUAAGGUAGAAUACUGUAUUUUCCUCUAGAGAUCAGAUUUUACAAUACUUCAGUAGUACAGCUGAAUUGAUUAUGGUGGGUAGGUGGCCCAGAAUUCUCCAGGAUAUUACUUUUACUAUACCUUAUUCUUUCCUAAACCAUUUGUAAAUAAUCCCAAAGUUUCUAUAAGCCUGUUACUAACUGAAAAUUAAUUACUCAGAUGUCUACAGUGACAAUCUUUAAGAACCGUGAGAUUAUAUGUUUCCUGAAAUUUCAAGACCCUAUCUGUUCAGCCAACUUUACAUUUUCUAUAGUACAGGGGUCUUUUUGUGGUUUUUGUUUUGCUUUGAUUUUUUACUCUAUAGAAUCUUUCUGGUCACAUAUUUUCUAAUAAAAAAAUUGGCCAUGUCACAUAUACUAGAACACUAAAAAAAAAAAAUGCUUGAUUAAUGAGCAUUACUGUCCUUAAACAUCUCAAUAGAAAAAGAAGGCAGUCUUUUGAUUACACAUAUCAAGUACAUAUAUAGGAACACACAACUACUCAUCUGAACAUCGUUAAAUACAAAGUAAUAAAGCAUACCUUCAAAAAGCAACCAGAAAUCAUACUGGUCUUCAGCUUUAAUGAAGUGGUUAGAAAGGUUUAUUUUGUGCUUAGGAUAUUUUUCUAAGGCAUCACAAGUUACACAUCCAAACU
RNAcentral lists this long non-coding RNA (3050 nucleotides) under Homo sapiens (human). Its description in RNAcentral is "HSALNT0210854". Lineage: Eukaryota; Metazoa; Chordata; Mammalia; Primates; Hominidae. The record is from RNAcentral.